UGACCGCGCCUGUGCAUGUGCGUGCACACGCCCGCGCGCGCGCCUGUGGGCGUGGCAGCCCGCUUCCCCGCCCCUCGGCACCGCCCAUGGGCGGGGCGAACGUGCCCUCCGCGGGGCGUGACCGGCUCAGGGAGUCCCGCCCCCGAGCAGAGCGGGGCGGGGCAGGGCCAUGGCGCGAGUGCUGGUGGUGGGCGCGGGGCUGACGGGCGGCGCGUGCGCGGCGCUGCUGCGGGGGGCGGCGCUGGGCAGCGUCACCGUCUGGGACAAGGCGCGCGGCGCAGCUUCUAUGAGGAGCUUCUGUCUCAUGGUGUCUUGGAACCACUUACUGCGCCUGUUGAAGGAAUGGUAGUGAAAGAAGGCUCCUGCAAUUAUAUGGCACCCCAGGGCAUCUCCUCGGUUGUCAAGUAUUAUUUAAAACAGUCAGCAGGUGCAGAUGUCGUCUAUGAGCAGCAUGUAACUUGCAUCUCUCUCAGAGAUGGGAAAUGGGAAGUCUCCAGGAAAAUGGGUCCACCAGAACAGUUUGAUAUAGUUAUUCUCACAAUGCCUGUUCCACAAAUUCUUCAGCUGCAGGGUGACCUUCUAAACAGGAGACAGAACAUCUGCCGUGGAAAGGCGGAAAAGCGGCUGUUAAUGGUGGCUGUGAGCUUUCCUCCUGCUCUGCCUCUCAACCUCAGGUGUCGUCUGUACCGAGACCUUGCGGAUCAGCCCCACUUGCUGUGCUUCCACCCCGGUCAGCUGCAGCCCAGGAGCCAGAAACAGCAGGCAGAUAUCAUCCUAGUUAUUUAUACGUUCAUCCUGUCCACGUCGAAACAUAGAGCAGACUUUUAUAUUCUUCCGAAGCCCAGCAAGAAUGCGUGAUACGUUGUGAUUAUUCCUCAUAGCUGCAACAAGGGGGCCUGAUGGUGAUGGACACCUCGGAACCCAACUGUGCAGAGCCCGCACCUGAAGGACAGGAGGGUUUCUGGCCCAGAUCUGUCCCCUGCGCUGUGUGGCAGCUCUGUCCCCUGUCCAGGCUCUGGUGCUCGGCCAGGAGGCGCUGGGACAAGCGCUGCUGAAAUCCUCACAUCCCUCUUGCGACUUGGCAGUGAAGAGCCCCCAAGACGCUUCCAGACGGAAGAUACCGGCAGCGUUCUCUACGCUGAACUGUUGCUGGUGACAGACCAGCAGUAUAACCAACGGGAACCGUUCCCUGCCAUAACUUAUGUGGAGGCAGCUUUGCCAAGGGAAGGUGACAGCAGAGGUUGAGGGGUCUUUGACUCAAUGCUUGGAGGUGUUCCUGAUGUCCAGGGAGAGAAGUGGAUCCUCCUUGGAAAGAUCUAGGUGCAGGGACAAGUGAUUAAUAGAAGUCAAAAGCAGCAACUGGAAUGUGUGAGCUACUCCUCCCGCUACGCUCUGGGACUAUUUUAUGAAGCCGGUACACGGAUUGAUGUCCCCUGGGCCGCACAGUACAUCACCGAUAAUCCCUGCA
Columba livia (rock pigeon) is the source of this 1468-nucleotide RNA transcript. It is a transcript of the gene named renalase, FAD dependent amine oxidase, with no coding region annotated. The transcript is spliced from 7 exons. NCBI's taxonomy places the organism in Eukaryota, Metazoa, Chordata, Aves, Columbiformes, Columbidae. The record is from RefSeq and is a predicted model, not a curated record.